AACGAACGCUGGCGGCAGGCCUAACACAUGCAAGUCGAGCGCCCCGCAAGGGGAGCGGCGGACGGGUGAGUAACGCGUGGGAAUAUGCCCUUUGCUACGGAAUAGUCUCGGGAAACUGGGGGUAAUACCGUAUACGCCCUUUGGGGGAAAGAUUUAUCGGCGAAGGAUUAGCCCGCGUUGGAUUAGGUAGUUGGUGGGGUAAUGGCCUACCAAGCCGACGAUCCAUAGCUGGUUUGAGAGGAUGAUCAGCCACACUGGGACUGAGACACGGCCCAGACUCCUACGGGAGGCAGCAGUAGGGAAUCUUAGACAAUGGGGGCAACCCUGAUCUAGCCAUGCCGCGUGAGUGAUGAAGGCCUUAGGGUUGUAAAGCUCUUUCAGCUGGGAAGAUAAUGACGGUACCAGCAGAAGAAGCCCCGGCUAACUCCGUG
Molecule: ribosomal RNA, 431 nt
Filed under: uncultured bacterium
Lineage: Bacteria
Description: partial 16S ribosomal RNA
Rfam family: Bacterial small subunit ribosomal RNA
Source: RNAcentral